UAGGGAAUCUUCCGCAAUGGGCGAAAGCCUGACGGAGCAACGCCGCGUGAGUGAUGAAGGUCUUCGGAUCGUAAAACUCUGUUAUUAGGGAAGAACAAAUGUGUAAGUAACUAUGCACGUCUUGACGGUACCUAAUCAGAAAGCCACGGCUAACUACGUGCCAGCAGCCGCGGUAAUACGUUGGUGGCAAGCGUUAUCCGGAAUUAUUGGGCGUAAAGCGCGCGUAGGCGGUUUUUUAAGUCUGAUGUGAAAGCCCACGGCUCAACCGUGGGGGGUCAUUGGAAACUGGAAAACUUAAGUGCAGAAGAGGAAAGUGGAAUUCCAUGUGUAGCAGUGAAAUGCGGAGAGAUAUGGAGGAACACCAGUGGCGAAGGCGACUUUCUGGUCUGUAACUGACGCUGAUGUGCGAAAGGGUGGGGAUCAAACAGG
Molecule: ribosomal RNA, 429 nt
Filed under: Actinomycetes bacterium
Lineage: Bacteria; Bacillati; Actinomycetota; Actinomycetes
Description: Actinobacteria bacterium partial 16S ribosomal RNA
Rfam family: Bacterial small subunit ribosomal RNA
Source: RNAcentral